CCCCCUCAAGAUGAGAUUUCCCAUUCCUAUAAGGAAGUAAGAUCCCUGAAAGAUGAUCAGGUUGAUAGGUCUGAGGUGGAAGUGUGGCGACACAUGGAGCUGACAGAUACUAAUCGAUCGAGGACUUAACCUA
This 133-nucleotide ribosomal RNA is filed under the name Bacillus licheniformis. RNAcentral describes it as "partial 23S ribosomal RNA". It matches the Rfam family "Bacterial large subunit ribosomal RNA", at positions 2794 to 2925 of the family's 2925-position model. The record is from RNAcentral. Lineage: Bacteria; Bacillati; Bacillota; Bacilli; Caryophanales; Bacillaceae.